GGUGGUGGUGGUUGGUGGUGGUGGUGGUGGUAUUGAGUCCUCACCUCCUCUUCCUCUUCCUCCCGUCAGAAGGUGGCGCGUGCACUUUUGCCCCGCCCACUUACGAUCAUCGUGGGCGUGGCGUGGGCGGGGCUUCCUAUUGCUGUCAGGAGUGGGCGGAGGGUGUUUAUUUAUGAGAGAGAGAGAGAGAGAGAGAGAGAGAGAGAGAGAGAGAGAGAGAGAGAGAGAGAGAGAGAGAGAGAGACUGUUAUGAUUGUUUCUCUAUCACCUUCUCAUCCCUCUACUCCUUUUUCUCCUCCUUUCGUUCAUCUUCUCCUCCUCCUCAUUCUUCUUCUUCUUCUUCUUCUUCUCCUUAUCUUUCUACUCCUACUCCUCCUUCUUAUCAUUAUCAUUACUAUCACCAUCAUCAUCUACCGCUGUGCCCUUCUUCCACGCCUCAGUCACUAUCUGCAGGGUGCCGUUAGUAAUGCAGGUGUCCAGGUGUCACUACUCACCUGCUGGUAUGGGAGGAGACACGUAUGGACAGGUGAUGGCAGGUAAGGACAGGUAAGGACAGGUAAGCUGAGGUCGAGGCCAUGGAUGCAAAUAAAGUUAGUCAUGAGGCGUACAACAACAACAACAACAACAACAACAACAGCAACAACAACAACAACAACAACAACAACAACAACGAUGACGACAAUGACGACAACAACAGGGAGAUCGGCCAUCUUGAGAAGAAGGUGGCGAGAGGGUGGUCAUGUGAGUGGUCAAGACGGGGAGGUGAGGGACGAGAGGGGCAGUAGGCACACAUGAGUCCUUCUGUGGGCCGUGUAUGGGAGAGGCGCUCCUAGACUUGUAGCUGUAUUUUAGUUUGGCUUCUAUGUAGGAAGGAUGUUGAAGAUAUGAUAGUGUAUCGGACGAUAUUACCUUUAUCUCAAAUACCCCGAAGCUCCUCUACUAGUUUCACGGAGUUUGGAGGGAGAGCGGACUGGGAGAGUGUUAGACCGAGGGAGAGGCGCCGACAGGAAAAGAGUGCAGGGGCCGAAUGGAGACCGCUCACGGAAAAAUCACACAACCACGAGAGAGAAUGGAAGGGGUGGGGGGAGGGACGGAGGGCAGGGGUGGGGGCGAGGGCCGGGGGAGAGUGGUGAGUGAGAGUGAGUGUCGGGACCUUGAACUCUGAACUCAAGCCAAGCGGAUCGGAGGGAGCACUGCAGAAGGCGCCGACGAAGGAUCUCUCCCCUAUCAUCCCAGCAGCAUCCUACCAAGGCAGUCAGCACCUCCUUCAGCGUCCCCCGAAGAAGUCACACCUCUGUCCACCAUCCUGCACCCUGACCUAUCCCCCAUCCUCUCAGAAGCACCCAAACCCCUUCAGAGUAUUCAAACCCCAUUCUGGAAGCAUUCAAUCCCCUCCAAGUUUCUUCAGAUCCCCUUCAGAAGCACCAAAACCCAAUGAGAAGUUCUCGAUCGCCUCCAAGUGCCUUCAGAUCCUCUUCAAGAUCACCAAAACCCCUUUAUGAGUACUCAAACCCUUUUACAAACACUCAAUCCCUUUAAGAAGUAUUCAAAACUUUUCACAAGUAUUAAAAUCGCUUUCAGGAGCAUUCUAUCCCCUCCAAGUGCCAUCAGAUCCCCUUUAGAAGCAUUCAAAGAACUUUAAGAGUACUCAAAUCCUUUUAGAAACACUCAAUCUCUUUAAGAAGUAUUCAAACACUUUCGAAAAUACUAAAGUAGCCUUCAAGAAUAUCCAAAAUCCCCUUAAAGAACACACAUUCCCUUUUUCAGGAACACGAAUUCCUUUUCAAAAACACUCGAUCCCUUUCAGAAAAAAAAAAAAAAAUCCAACUCAAAAACACUCAGUUCUUUUCAAAAAACAUAAAAAAAAUCCCUUUCAGAAACACUUGAUCCUUAACAGAAACACCUAAAUUCCCUUCAGAAACACUCAAUUCCUUACAGAAACACCUAAAUUCCCUUCACAAACACUCAGUCCCUUACAGAAACACCACAAUCCCCUCCAGAAACAUCAACCCAUCUUCAAAAAAACACUCGAUCUCCUUCACAGACACAAGAUCCCCUUUCAAAAACACUUAAUCCUCUUAUAAACCCAUCCUAAACCAUCCAGAAACAAUCAAAACUUCCCUUUUAACCACACAUCACUACUACCCACCACCACCAUCUCAAUUCCCCUCUCACCUCACCUUCUCUCCACUUCAAGGACGCACACCAAGAGAGUGGUGUAAGGACGCGGCAACAUUGUGACUGCGAGUAUACAAGAGACCGUGACUAAAGUAUUGUAUUCAGAGUGCUGUCAAGACGCCGGUAUUGUUGAUGCUGCGUAAAAGGCUGAGGAAGUGAGAGAGAUGUUAUUGAAUUUAUUGAUCUAUGCACGAAUACUAGGGAAAGAAACGAAGCUGUUAUAUUAAGAAGAAGGGAGACAAAGAAGAUAAAAGAGAAGAAAAAGAAGAAGAGAAGAAGAAGAAGAAGAAGAAGAAGAAGAAGAAGAAGAAGAAGAAGAAGAAGAAGAAGAAGAAGAAGAAGGAAACGAUCUCAGUAAUAAUGAGAGAGAGAGAGAGAGAGAGAGAGAGAGAGAGAGAGAGAGAGAGAGAGACGAGAUGAGAGAGAGAGAGAGAGAGAGAGAGAGAGAGAGAGAGA
Scylla paramamosain (green mud crab) is the source of this 2634-nucleotide long non-coding RNA. RefSeq lists it as uncharacterized. Lineage: Eukaryota; Metazoa; Arthropoda; Malacostraca; Decapoda; Portunidae. The record is from RefSeq and is a predicted model, not a curated record. The transcript is spliced from 2 exons.